This 426-nucleotide ribosomal RNA is filed under the name uncultured bacterium. RNAcentral describes it as "partial 16S ribosomal RNA". It matches the Rfam family "Bacterial small subunit ribosomal RNA", at positions 354 to 796 of the family's 1533-position model. The record is from RNAcentral.
GUGAGGAAUUUUCCGCAAUGGGCGAAAGCCUGACGGAGCAAUGCCGCGUGAAGGAUGAAGGCCUAUGGGUUGUAAACUUCUUUUCUCAGAAAAGUAUUAUGACGGUAUCUGAGGACUAAGCAUCGGCUAACUCUGUGCCAGCAGCUGCGGUAAGACAGAGGAUGCAAGCGUUAUCCGGAAUGAUUGGGCGUAAAGCGCCUGUAGGUUGUUUAAAAAGUAUUCUGUCAAAGAUUAUGGCUUAACCCUAGCUAGGCAGAAUAAACUUUUAAGCUAGAGUUUGGUUGAGGCAGGGGGAAUUCCCGGAGGAGAGGUGAAAUGCGUAGAGAUGUGGAGGAACAGCAAAGGCAAAGUCACUCUGCUGGGCCAAUACUAACACUGAAAGACGAAAGCGAGGGGAGCAAAUGGGAUUAGAAACGCCGGUAGACC